UAAGCUGUUUCUCCUUUAGGGGCUACUCCAAGCCCAGUAAUGCUGUGGUUCUUGCAGACUCGUAGAGGUCUGCCUUGAUGCUCUUGGACAAGAUCCGGGAGAAUUCUCUGUAUUACCAGGCAAAGACUCUUUUUCUCUUCCCUUUCUCCCAAACAUACAGAGUCUUUCUAAAGCUGGGGGUGAAGUGACACAAGCACCCCUGUGGCCACCACUGCUUUGACUGUGCUGGGUCAGACCUGAAGCCAGCAUAGCACUGGGUCUUGUCCAAGGCCUGCUGAAACCACUGCCUGGCUACUGUCUAUGUUUGCUCAAGGCCAGGGGCUCUACAAUCAGCAUGUGGCAAAGCCAGCCAGGUCAGUGUCCUCUUCGGGGUGACGAGGUCCCCUAAACCCUGGGUGGGUCCAGAAGUGCCAUACAGGAGUCAGGGACUAGAGUUAAAAACCUUAGAAGUCUACCUGGUGCUCUAUUGUAUUGUGGCUGAGCUGGCAGUCAAACAAGACACAGUCCUUCGCACUCUUCCCUCCGCUUUUCCAAAGGCAGAGGAGCCUCACUCCAUAGCCACCACUACCCCUGGCCAUGAGGAGUACUGUCAGACUAUCAUUAAUGUUCCCUUAUGGCCCAAGGUCUCUUAAGUCAGCUUGUCCUGAAUCCUGCUGACCCUUGGAGUCACCCUUCAGGGCAGUGGGCCCUGCUCUGGUGCAGGGCAGGUCUAGAAAUUCCAUCCAAGAGUCAAGUCCUGGAAUCAGAGACCCCAAGAGCCUUCUUGGUGCUCUACCUGCUGUGGCUGUGCUGGUACGUGAAGCCAGCAAGACUGAGAGGCUCACCCAAGGUCCUUAAUGUAGUAUGAUGCCUCACGAUUGCUGUGUUCUCUCUGCCCCUCCUCCUGCACCUUGGAGGGAGUGGUGGCCUGAGUGACUCAGGAUUAUUUUUUCUAUCUCUUUAGUGCCUCUUUCAGCAAGAUGAGGUUAAAACCAGGUACUAUGAGUGCUCACCUGAUUUUUGGUACUUAUGCAGGUGUUUCUUUUUCUUUUUUUUUUUUUUUUGAGAUAGAGUCUCGUUCUGUUGCCUAGGCUGGAGUGAAGUGGUGUAAUCUCAUCUCACUGCAACCUCUGUCCCCGGGUUCAAGCAAUUCUCCUGCCUCAGCCUCCCAAGCAGCUGGGAUUACAGGCACCUGACACCACACCUGGCUAAUUUUUGUAUUUUUAGUAGAGACAGAGUUUCACCAUGUUGGCCAGGCUCAUCUUGAACUCCUGACCUCAAGUGAUUCGCCCGCCUCAGCCUCCCAAAGUGCUGGGAUUACAGGCGUGAACCACUGCACUCAGCCAACAGGUGUUUCCUCUGUGUAGACAGUUGUUAACUUGGUGUCCUUGUGGGUGGUGGGGGGCAUAAUCGGUGGAGCCUUCUACUCUGCCAUUGUGUCUGCCUCUGUAUCAUGAUUUAUGUACACUGAAAAGUUAGGUUUGUAAAAAUAGCUUGUUGGUAUUACAAACGACAUGGAAGUUUUUCCUUUUCCCACUAAAGGGAUAUAAGAUUCCCCAGACAUAUACAACCCCCCAAAUCCAUCAAUUUAUCAUCAUAAAAAGACAAUUCUUGAAUGAUUUAUUUUAUCCCAAACUUUAAAGUGUAAAGCAGAACACUUGAUUUUUAUUGUAUUAUUUUUAUAAAUUUAUAGACUAUGAAGGAAGGGAAAUUGCAGGCUAUAAAAGAGGAGGACUGAUUGUAAGGUAUAUCAGAGAAAUGGAAAAAAAUGCUAAUUGAAAAGCAUGAUGUGGUAGGCAGACUUCAAAGAUGGUCCCUAUCUUCUGCUAUUCAUGCCCUUGUGUGAUCUUUUAUCCUUGAUUGCAAGCUGGACUUAAUGACUUGUGUCUAGCCAAAAGAAUAUGGCGAAGGUGGUGGAAUGCUGCUUCUGUGAUUAGGUUAUAAAAUAUAGUGCCUUCUGUCUUGCUAGCAGAUCCUCCCUGUGGUUUUCUCAGCUUGCAUGCUUUGAUGAAUUGAAGUAAGCUGCCAUGUGGAAGAGGUGCAUUGUUAAGGAAAUGAGGGCAACCUCUGGCCACUAGCUAGCAAGGAAGUGAGGUCCUUUGCCCAACAGCCUGUGAAGAAGUGACUGCUAUGGACAAUCACUGCGUGAGCUUGGGAAGUUGCUCCUUCGUCAGUCAGAGCUUCAGAUGAGACUGCAGACCCACAUCAACACCUUGACAGAGACUGCAACCCAGAGGACCCAGAUAAGCCGUGCCCAGACUCAUUUCCCAUAGAAACUGAGAUAGAAAAUAUGGGGUUUCACCAAGGAUCCGUUCCAAGAUGGCCG
RNAcentral lists this long non-coding RNA (2305 nucleotides) under Homo sapiens (human). RNAcentral's name for it is "HSALNT0009250". The record is from RNAcentral. Lineage: Eukaryota; Metazoa; Chordata; Mammalia; Primates; Hominidae.